GCGCGCAUAGCUCAGCUGGUUAGAGCGUUGCAUUCACAUUGCAAAGGCCCGGGGUCCGAAUCCCUGUGCGCGCACCG
Molecule: transfer RNA, 77 nt
Filed under: Candidatus Gottesmanbacteria bacterium RIFOXYB1_FULL_47_11
Lineage: Bacteria; Candidatus Gottesmaniibacteriota
Description: tRNA-Val
Rfam family: tRNA
About the family: Transfer RNA (tRNA) molecules are approximately 80 nucleotides in length. Their secondary structure includes four short double-helical elements and three loops (D, anti-codon, and T loops).
Source: RNAcentral